RNAcentral lists this long non-coding RNA (1822 nucleotides) under Piliocolobus tephrosceles (Ugandan red Colobus). RNAcentral describes it as "lncRNA (ENSPTEG00000005685.1)". Lineage: Eukaryota; Metazoa; Chordata; Mammalia; Primates; Cercopithecidae. The record is from RNAcentral.
UUUUGUCAUUGCAAGUUUUAACAUAGUUGCCAUAUAUCUAAGGUAUUUAGAAUGCCUAUGCUAGGCACAAUACCUAUAGUAGGUAAAAUUCCUAUAGUCCAUUAUAUUUCUUCUUUUUUUUUUUUUUAUUCUGCUUAUGUUUUAUUUUAAUAUUUUGAAUCGCUACAACUGAUAACAUUAACGUAGCAUUUUUUUUUUAAUUUUUAUACGUUUGUACAUUUCUUUUUUUUAAAUAUUUGAUUAUUUUUGCAAGUAUACAUGUUACUUAUAGUAUGUAUAAUAUUUAUUAAUUUAUUUAUAAUUUUAUAUAGUUAUUAACUCAUGUAAUUAUUAACUUACAUUUGUCUCUAUCUCUCUCUCUCUCUCUCUCUCUCUUUAUAUAUAUAUAUAUAUAUAUACAUGUUUAUUGCUCAUCUAAUCAAAUUAACAAGUAUAAAAAAUAAGGAUACCUUUUCCUUUUACUUAUUAUUAUUUAUUUGCUUUUUUAUACUAUGAGUUAAAAUUGUAUAACUAACCAUAGCAGUAUGACAUAUUUUGAAGUUUACACUGAAAGAUUGAACAUGCGGGUACCCAACAAAGGCCAAGGUGGCAUGUUGGUAAAAAAAAAGCUUUUAAAUAAUACUUACAGUAGUAAUAAAAUUAUAUACAAAAAGUAUAUAUCAUUUUAUGAAAUAUUUGCCUUUCUACUAAUUUUAUUUAUAAAUAUAAUACCUAAUGAUAAUAAAGACAUUUUUUUCUUCGAAGAAAGACAUAAUAAAAACUUUUUUUUAAGGUUGUUAGUGAGUUAUGAUAAAACAUAUGAUGAUUUAAACAAUUGUAAACACUUGAUCGAUUCGAAAAAAAAAAUAAUGCUUAUGGAAAACAAAAGUAAACAUACAAACCAGGAGGAUUGUUCUGAUUGUGAAAACGCGUGUAAUGAAAGUGUUGGUAAUAUAUGCAAUAUUAAUGAAAAAAAUAAUUUAAAAGAUCAGAAAAACAAUAACAAAAUAAAAAAACAGUCUUAUAAUGUAAAUAAUGUUAAGCUAGAUAGACAAAACACUAAAAAAAUAGUAGAUAUCAAAAAAGUGGUUGUUAACCCUAAUGUGGAGAAGGUUCAUGCUAAAUCUUGUGAAAAUUUUUUAAAUGAAAAAAAAAAAUACUUUUCAGAAAAAAUGAAUAUUUUAAAUAGUAUUAACAAGUAUACAUGGAACGAUUUAUAUAAGGGUGAUAAAACAAAACAUAUUCAUAUACUGUGGAAACAAAACAUGUGGCGUGAGUGGAAUUAUUAUAUCAGCAUGAUAAAGAUUAAAGAUGAUAUACAAGACAUGUAUUAUUUUAAUGAAAAAAUAAAGAGUGGUUACCCAUAUGACAAAGUCAAAAGUAAAUUAAAGAAAAAACUGAAUUCAAAAAAAUUCAUAAUAUUAAAAGAUUGGGAGAAGUUUUUGGAAAUACAUUUGAAAGAAUGGGAGACAUAUAAAAAAAUGGAUACAUAAAAAUAUAUAUACUCAUGAGUCAUUUAUUUGUUCAUGUUUAUAUUUAUAUAUUUUUUUUUUUGUAACCUUUUAUACAAAGGCAAAUCAUGUUUCACAUAUUUAUGUUCACACACAAAAAAUACAAGCGCACGUAGACUUAUAAACCAGUUUUUGUGUUUUUUUGAAAGAACCGUCAUGUUUAUUUUUUUUUCAAAUAGAUUGAUAAAUAUUCGUAGUGCAUAAAAUUAAAAAAAAAAAAAAAAAAAAAAAAUGCAUGCUUAGUUUUGUAUAUUAUGUACUUCCAUUUUAGAACUGUUCGUUUUUUUUUAUAUGUUACAAUAGUAAUAAAAAAUAAAUAAGUAAAAAAAACA